GAUGAUGACACAUUUUCAGCUGGACCUUCAUCAUUUACCUGAGCAGAACAAAUUGGGCAUUAAGCAGCACCGGUUACUUCCCUGAUGAUGACCGCCCUUAUGACACCUUUAUAUGGACUAAUGAAACUAGACUCUCUAUGGCCAAUCCUCAACUGUACAUGAACGCACGCCUUUCUCCCAUCUCUCUAACUUAUUUUGGGUUUUGUCUGGGAAAUGGAAACUACACCGUAAACCUCCAUUUUGCAGAGAUAAUGUUUAGAAAUGGCAAAACAUAUAAAAGCUUGGGAAGGCGCAUAUUCGAUAUUUACAUUCAGGUAAGUAUCGCAUCCACUUCCAUGUAUACCAGUGAAUUAUUCUAAUUUUCAACAAGCAUUGUUUAUAUUUUGGUCGAUUUGAAUGUUAACUUUCACAUUUAUGAUCAUGAAAUGUUAAGCAACUAAAUUAGUGUGUGUGUGUGUGUGUGUGUGUGUAUUGCAGGGAAAACUAGUGAAGAAGGACUUCAAUAUCAUGGAUGAAGCUGGCGUGUUUGGUGAUGUAGUCAUAAAGAACUUUACUGCUCCUGUAACUAAUAAUACAUUGGAGAUUCGUUUCUAUUGGGCCGGAAGAGGGACGACAGGCAUCCCUUUUAGAGGAGUCUAUGGUCCUCUUAUUUCAGCUAUUUCAGUAGACCCAAGUAAGUUUUCACUGAUCUGAGCUUCGUCUAAUUACUAUGCGUCGACCAUAUGCAUUUAUAUAUCUACUAAAUUAAGAGAUCCGACUUCAGUUCUGCAAGGUUCUUCUUCUUCUUCAAUAUUUCCCUUCGCUUGUAUUUUCAGAAAAAUGCUUCUGUGUUUUUCUCCUGUUUUACAUAGUUUGAGCCAAGACUUGAAGAAAUACUCUCUUAAAUUUUCUUAUCACAUAAUAUGCUGUUUUUUUCUAGGUGACGGGUAUGCUCUUUCAAAUACAACAAAAUUCAACUUCGAGGAUUUUUAACUAUUUACAUGAAAUGUACCGUUUGGUACGUGGGACGGGACGGGAUGGAACGGGACGAGCCGUUCCGUCCCACGUUUGGUGCGCCUAAAAACUGUGGAACGGGUUGUCCCAUGGGACGAAAUUUGGCUGAUUUUUCGUUCCACCUCUUCCCCCUGGAACGACCCGUUCCACAUCCGUGUAACACAAAUUUAUAACAUUUUAUGACACAAUUUCUCCUUAUCUUUUUUAAUAUUUACAUCAUCUGUUCCGUCCUGUUCUGUCCCGUCCCGUCCUGUUCCAUCCCGUCCCGUCCCGUUCCAUCCCGUCUACGUACCAAACGGUACCUUAAGGAAACAUAUAAUAUUUACAACCAUCAAAAGAAAGUUUGUUCGAGGGAUUACUUCAUAUACUAUCUACUUAGUUAAGGAUGCCGCAAAGACAGGGUUUCAAUCUUCUGUUUGUGUGCAUUGGAUAGCUAGUUGAAUAAUCCACUCUCAUAUCAAUUACAUACAUUUACUCUAAUUUAAGCUAUAUUCUUUCUUCGGACAGACUUUGAUUCGCCGCCAAAACCUGUAAGUGACACAUCAACUGGUGGAAGUGGCGUGCCUGUAGGUGUCGUGGUUGGAAUUGUGGUUGGAGGAGUCUUCAUUAUACUACUGAUAUUUGGUAUUCUUUGGAAGAGAGACAACAAAAGACAUUGGAGGAUGGUAUUAAUUUGCAGUUUAUUAUGUUAUACUGGUUUUUCCUUUUUGUUCCUCCAUUACUUUCUCUCAUCGAGCUUUUUUCGUAACUAAGUACGAUAUUUAUGCUAUUUGCAUGGUUCUCAUGCAUAUUGACAUGCACCACAAAGACAGUAAUUAUUUAGAUAUGGAGCUUUCCGGCACUUUGAUGUUUCUGUAAUAUAUUUAUCGUCCAAACACCAUGAUGCAAAGUGUCUGCCUAUAGAUCUAGUUACUUGUUAAAUUCUAUAAUUAGGCACAAAAUAUUAAGAACUAAGAAUGUUAUCGUUCUGAAAGUUUUCUUAAGACACAAUUUCUUAUGAGUUUUAGUUGUUAUACAGAUUUGAAGGGUGUGGACCUGCAAACUGGUAAAUUUACCUUCAAGCAACUCAAAGAUGCCACUAUUGGCAUGUAACCCUUCAGCCGAAGACUUGGAGGCAAAGAAAGAAUUCAAACCUUAUUUUAAUGUUUGUUUCAUGUUUAAAUUUGAGCCAUUGAAUCAUAGUCCAUGUGGCUAGCCUUACUUGUAUCUAGCUUAAGUGAUAGAUUAUAACAAGUGGCAUCAUCUCAUAGGAUGAUAGCAAUUAAGGAAUGAGAUUAAGUGUGUUAUUGAUGAGUGUAUAAAGCCAAAAACCUUAUAUGUUUGUUGUGAGGGAAUAUUUUUCAAUCAAUCAGUGUAAUCAUCCUCCUAAAAAUUCUCUCUGCCAUUUUCGGCAUUACACAGACCUCUGCAAGAUUUCAUAGAAGCUUACCAAACAUUCCCAUACACUAACAGCCACAAGCAACUUUAACAAAGCUAUCAAGUCGUUGCAUCCGACUAUCCUUGCAUUCUCUGCUUUGAACAUUUUCACAUAAUCGCGAAACAACUCCUUUGGGUUCUUCUUGACGUUGAACAAAUGGUCGGACUUCUUUUUUAUCAAGCGAUAGGAUGAAUAUUCUUUGGUGAAAACCAAAAAAGUUCGUCAAAACUCCGGAUGGAUUGUGGUGGCAGGGUGUAGAACCAAUUUUGCGUCUCGCCUUGUAGAGUGAUGAUGAAUAUCUUGCACAUGAGAUCGUCGUUGUUUCGAUAGAGGAUCAUUGCGCUUCGGUAGUGCUUUAAGUGUCUCUCCGGGUCUUCAUCCCCUUUGAAAGAUGUGAAAUGUGGCAUGCUGAACUCGUGUGGAGGCUCUGCCUGCUCGAUCUCAUCCGUGAAGGGUGAUCUGCUUAUGUUGGUCAUGUUCCGUCGUAGUACCUCGUAGGUGACCUUGUUGCGUUGGAAAUUGCACAAUCACUUAGUCAAGAGUCUCUCUACUUCUUCCUGAAUUUGCCUUUGUUAGGGUAGUCGAACUCUCGGCUGCCCCUAGCUGUGACUUGCUGGUCUAAGCUGCUCUUCUAUGUGUUUGGCUCGUCUAUUCCGCGGAUGAGGUGUGUGUGGUGUGUUCCUAGCAAGCGAGCGAGUUCUUCUCAGGCUGUCGGUUGAACUUGAGCCGGAUUGAGUGACAAAGUCAAUGAAAGAAUGAUUCACAGUGUGCUUGCAUACUUCUUAUACACGAACAACUUUGUAUCGGCCUAGUUAUUAGUUACAAAGUCAAUGAAAGAAUGAUUCACAGUGUGCUUGUAACAAAUACACAUUUACCGUUUGUGUAAUUCCUCAUGUUUUAUUCUUUCUAAAGAACAUUGGACAUUUUCCUUCGGUUUUAGAGUAAGAAAACCAGUUCCUUCUUCCUAUUUAAUUCCCUGACCAAAAGUAAGUAUUUUCUGUGAUAAAUUAAUGUUUUACCUGUUUGGUCUCAUUUCUGUUGCAGCUUUUCCUUUUAGUCACAGUAUAGAUGCGUAAUGGAUAUCUGUUAAUUUCCAUAUAUGUUAUUAUUUAUUUUUACUUGUAAUGAAUAUCUAUUGUCACAACCCGUCCCGAAAUAUUUAUUUUCGACGGUGUGAAAUGACAGUUUUACCCUUGGACGUUGAGAUGUGUGGUGUGUGUCAUGCUUUUGGAUGUGGACCAAUAUGUUGAGUUCCUAAGUUUUUGGACUCAAUUAGAAGUUAGACUUUUGUUAGUUUGGUUAGGGACCAAGUGAGGACCACACACACACACAAAACACCCCGUGCAUUCUCUCUCGUCUCGGCCUUCCUAUCAUUUCCGUACAAAACGUACAGACGAACACCAAACUCACACUUCACGCACGGAUCGACGUUAACCAGGUAAUAUUCGAAUUCCUUGUAAGAUUUUGAGUUCACCCAUACCCUUUUUAGAUCGAGAAACCUUCGUUUUCUCGAGAAACCAGAACUGCCGAAUUCAUGCACUGUUCAUGCACUCAUAAAUGUGAGGUUUUUAGGAAUUUUUUAGGACAUAGUGAGCUUUGGAUCAUCCUCACGAAGCUUGGAGAAGAAAAACCAAGUGAAUUGGACGUCGGGAAGUGGAGAUCGACGAGUUCAAAGUUUGGCCGGAUUAUCGAAGGAUCUCCGGCGAAUUCUCGAGGGAUUUCAGGUCCCAAAAUUGGUAAGGUUUUAUUCCUUAUGUUGUAAGCUUCAUUUUGGUGAAGAUUUCGUGGAAUUUGGUGCAAAAAUGGGAGAGAUAUGAGGUUUUAUAUAUUUUCCAGUUUUCGGCAACGGCGACGGUCGCCGGAGGUCAAACGUAGGGGACGACGAGAUAUUCCAUCAAAAUUGAUGGAAUAUUCCUAACGGCCGUUAGGCCUCAGUUAGGGUUUGGCCGAGCGUGGGGGCGCGUAGGGCCGUGCCUCCGCCGGCGUGUGACGACGCGUGGGACGUCAGAAAAUUUUUCUAAAAAUAUGGGGAUGUUCAUGAGAUUGUGUAGUUCACGUUGGUAUAUUCAAACAUCCCAUUUGAGCAAUGUAUGAGAAGUUAUUAGCUAGUAUUGGUUAUGUGCUUUAAAUAACGUUUAUUUAGUUAUUUCACAUAUAGGUGAGACCUAUCUAGAGGACGAGCGCAGUCAAGGGCGACUCGGGGGCUACGACCCUUCGACAUACCAGUUAGUGGGCUUUUGGUUUUCAAUAUAUAUUUAUAUACUUGAUAUUUUCCCAGAAAAUGUGUUUAAAUGAAAGUAUGCUUUGAAAUGCCAUGCAUAUAGAUUUAUAUUCGGCAUAUGAAUUAGUAUAUGAUGCAUAAUAUGAAUUGGUACUGUGGAUGCUCAGGUAAGUACCAGGUGAGUUAUGUUUUGUUAUAUGAGAUAUUGAUAAUGUGAGACGUGAUUGAGAACUCAUAAACCUGCACCCCGGGUGAUUGUGAUUUAGCCAGAGAUAUGGCACAUGCCUGUAUAUAAUGUCACAUCCCGCACCAUAUGCUCACAUUGGAUCCAAUUUAGGUGCACAGUCUUGUCGUACAGACCAUUAGGUGAGUAGUGAUUUAUCGCACAGCUAUCAUGAGAGCGUAACAUUGAGCAUAAUUAUAUUACACUCAGUCUUGUCGUACAAACCAUUACAGUGGUUCCGACUCGUGUGCAGUGUAGUGCCGUAUAGGUCACUGACGAUGACUUCGGCUAGAUUGAUAAAUAAUAAAUUUAGUCGUACAGACCUCUGCAGGGGGUUCCGACUAAUAUGUUAUUUUCCAUGAAUUUAUUUUCACCUGAGUUACUUAUUCUGUUUUAUAUUUUGGCAUGGCAUACUUAUGAAUAGAUAUGUGAAGCAUGAUUUGAAUAUAUAUAUAUAUACACACACACACACAUAUAUAUAUUUAUAUUCUAUUUCUGGGAAAAUUAUACAUGUUUUACGGCGAUGGGUUAUAGUAUUUGAUAAAUGAAAUGGUUUUGAAGAACUUUGUUUUUGCCCACUCACGUUUUCUGUUUUGCGCCCCUCCAGGUUUUAGGUAAGCUUGCUCGUUGGUGGCUCACGAGGAUUAGUGGAGGUUCUGACAGACCAUAUCAAAUGUAGGACAUCUUUGGGUGUCGUUUAAUUAGUACUUGCUUUCUGGACUGAACUUAGGCUACUCUCACUCUGAUUGUGUAUUUACACAUAUACUAGCACUAGUCUUAACUAGUACUCUUACAAGUUGGUUUUCAAUUAUUCGUAUUCUCUAUUAUCAUUAUUGCUUCUGCACUGUGCACAUGACUACGUCACCCUCACGUGAUGGCCAGCAUACCCUGAUUCGGGUCGGGGUGUGUCAUCUACCCUUUUAAUUACAUUUUAUUUUCAAUAGUAUCUAAUGAGUAGAUUUUAUAUUAUAUAUUUUACCUUGAUCUUAGUUUAUUUUGGUUAUUAUUUUGGAAGAAUUUUGAUACUUUGAAUUGCAUUUGCAAUAUAGGAGUUUCAACUUCUUCUGGAGCAAAACGUGAUCAAAUGAAUGAAUUUUGGAGUGAUUCCAGCUGGAGGAUGUUCGUGAUUUUCUUAGCUUGAUCAUGUCAAAAUAUAAGAUUCUUCCACCAAUCGGUUAUUUUCUAGCGAUAGAAUAAAGGAGCACUGCGCGAUGCUGGAAAAAUGACGUUUUGGGCUUAAUUGCAAGUUUUGGAGUCUAAGAUAACUUAAUUUGGGUUCGGCCCCUUCUGGAGAUAUGUUCAGAACGUUCCGAUCUUUAAAACAAGCUGUCAUGGGCCGGAUUUGGAGGAGAUUUGAGGCUAAAACGUGGCUGGACAAUUCCCAGAUUCUCCUAGCUUAAUUAGGACUUUAUUUUCUAGUAUAUUUAUUAUUAUUUGGUUUCCUAGUUGGAUCCAAAGACUUUUAUUAGGGAUUAUUGCAGGUUUUAGGAGAGGAUAUAAGGUUUGACCGGCCUUAGUCCUUUACUUCUUCUUUCAUGCGACUUCGGAGAUAGGAAAUUGGCUAGGGUUCUUGAAGAUUUUUAGAGUUUAUUUAAGGUUUUUUCAAUCAUUUUCUUCAUAAUAAUAUUUUGUUUGAUUUUAAUUAUAAAUAUGCGUAACUAAUUUGUUUUGCUGGGGCGAAGUCUUGAAUCUUAGCAUGAAUAUGUAAUUUUUAUUUAAUUGAUAAUGAUUGAUCGUAUGUAUGCUUUGAAUUAUUGAUCACCAUUUUAAACUAUCUAAUUGUCUUGAUGACUAGCCACCAUUAUGAUGUUUAGACAAGUAAUUGGAUGCAAUUCGGUUAGAAUAUCACCAGAGGAUUGGGUAUUGCUUCUUGUGGUUAAUAAUUGUAAUUUCACCUAAGGCGAAUAUCACGCUCUUAGGGGUUGCAUGUUUUUCGGAGAGUUUCACAGAACUUAAUGAGUUUUGCAAGUUUAUAUUUGAUCUGAAUAUCACAGACGGAUUGCAUGUUAGAUAUACGUUCUUGCUUGAAAAUCACGAGGAGAAUAUGUAUCAGGAAAACCUAACCUUCAAAGUUGCAUAUGUAGAUCAUAAGUAAUUUGUCAAAAUACAUAGGAUUGUUAUGAUGAUGGCGGAACCCUAGUGUUUUUAUAAAUUGGUAUUUAAAAACUCUUUUCUAUUAUUUUUACAAUUUUGGUUUAUAGUUAAAAUUCAUUUAAUAUAAGUCAGGAUAUUUUAUAGGGAACUUUAACGAAAAGUUCCCAGUACUGUUCACUUUAACGAAAAACGUGCCUUGAUAAUCACAUGAUGUAUUUAAUGUAAUUAUAUAAUUGAUCAUUACAGUUGUGGAUAAUUACAAAAAAGUAUAAUAAAUAUACGCUGAGAUACACAUAGUCCUAAAUUAGUACUUAGUUCUGAAAACGCCAAUAAGAUAUAGAUCCAGAAAAUUGGACUUCUCGUCCUCGUCAUAUCACAUCAGCCUAUCAAGCCACCGUUACCAACACCUCCACAAUUUGCAGAGAAAUUCGCAAUGAAUGCUUAAACAAACAGAUCCAUCAAGGAUCUUACCAUGUAAGGUCGACCAACCGCAAAUAUGCAGAAAGAAGACAAAUCAAUUACAAAAUCCAGCGUUUCAGAAGGUAGAUCUGGAAAAUUUCUGACCAAACUUGCCUGAUCCAAAGCCCUAUAACCUAGGGAGAAAACAAAACCUCGCAAGAGGCAAUGAAGAACAAGCCUAGCACAAGAAGGCUAGGGAGCAAAAGCUCUCCACAUAAAUACGGGAGACAGGCCCUAUAGUCGUAGGACUCCUUGUCAAGAUUAGGCUUGGGUGAGUGGUUUUCAUAAGGGAUUGAAGCACAGUUGGUCAUGAACUUAUCAUAAACUGUUAUACGGAAGAUAUUAGAAAAUUGCUACAUGAGCAUCACAAAAGCAUGUGAGAGGCGAGAGUGAUUUUUAAACCCUUACUUGGUUUAAGUCAUUUUCAAAUCUUUUUCACAUGUCUUUACAAUGCUUAUAUGGUGUUUUUGUAAUCUCUCAUAUCUAGCAUUUUAUAAUUCAUUUUUUACUAAUUUGGUCUCAAGUUCACAGGGCUAGAAUUCUUCCCCCCAAACAUAGCUCAAAGGACUCACACCCUCCAAAUAAAGUAGACAACAAUACUACAAUUGACAUAAGUUUUUGUGUGGUAGUGAAUUAUUGUCACAUGCGCUCAUGCAGAUACUAAUAUGAAGAUAAAUUAUGGGAAGUGAAUUAUAUAUACUUCUUUUCGUUGCGCUCUCUUUUCAAUUUUUUUUUAUAUUUGAAUUGAAUUUAGAACAAUUCAGAAAACAAAGUAGCCCAAAAUGAUCUAUGUGAAAAUUAUUUCUAUAAACUCUACACACACACACACACACACACAAAACAAUUAAUGAUUGUUCCAUACCAACUUAUACAGUCAACCAACUGAUAAACUGGAAAAUAUGAUUAUAAUGAUAGCAUCCAAUUCCUAUCAAUGACUUUAGGGUAAAUUACAUAGUAGCUCUUCAGGUUUGAUGUCUACUACAACCUCAUACAAUAUCUUUGAAACAUUUCACUUUCAUAUCUCACGUACUAUUUUAUUUCAAAAUAAUACAUCCGUUACAUUUUCCAUCCAUUGAUCCGUUAAGUGCUGACGUGGCUGCCAAAUGUGUGCCACGUGGCAAAAAAAAUAAUUUUUUUUUAAAAAAAACCUUAAUCUUCUAAAUAAAAAAAAUCAAAAAGAGAAAAUUCAGAUCCCAUCAUCCCACCCCCUCCCCCAUACCUGAACCUUGAACAAAAAAAAAAAAAAAAAAAAAACCCAGAAAACCCAGUUCCCACUAACACACCUUCCCCCCAAAUCCCAUCAACACCCCCAUGUGAAACCUCGAUCCCAUAUCCCCCCCCCCCCCAAAAAAAAAAAUCAUCUUCCAUCAGUCAUCCGCACCCAUCCUCCACCUCCUCCCCUGCACCCAUCUCCACCUCAUCCGCACACCCAUAUUCCCAUCUUCUCCUGCCCCGCCCCCCCAACCCGAGCCCAACCUGCAACCCAGAAAGAAGAGGAAAAAAAAACCCAGCGCACCCACCCUCGCACUCAUCCUCUUCCCUCCUCUACACACCCUACUCCUUAAAUCCACACUCAUUGGGGAAGACGGGAUCUGGGUUGCAGGGAAAUGGCAAUAGGUUUUUUUUUUCGUUUCUUUUCUGGGUUGGAGGUAGUGGGUGCAGAGGAAGAGGUGGAGGAUGGGGUGCACGGUGGGUUUGGGGAAGACAAGAGGGGAAAGAAAGGGGUGGGUUGCAAGGAAAGGGGGUCGGGGAAGAUGAAGAUGGUUUUUUUUUUUCCACUCCUUUUCUUAAUCUUCUGGGUUGCAGGUUGGGUGGGUGGGGGUUGAAGGUUCAUCUUUUGUUUUUUGUUUUUUUUUUUUAUUUAGAAGAUUCAGGUAAAAAAAAAAAAAAAAAAAUUUGCCACGUGGCACAAAUGUGGUAGACACGUCAGCACUUAAUGGAUCAAUGGAUAGAAAAUGUAAUGGAUGUAUUAUUUUGAAAUAAAAUAGUAUGUGAGGUAUAAAAGUGAAAUGUUUUAAAGAUGUUGUAUGAGGUUGUAAUAGACCUCAAACCUAAGGGGUUACUAUGUAAUUUACCCAUAACUUUAUACUUGGAGAACUAAAUAUUAAUUUUAUAUACAAAUAAUUUUAGUAUUGUUUUUUUGUAGGACCAUAUAUAUUUUUAAUUAUAAAUGAAUUUUUUGCGAUAAUGAUUUAUGAAUGAUGAAUUGAAAUAUAGGUGGUUCAGAUCUUUGAAAAAAAAUUAUGAAACGAAAACUACAAAAAAUUGUGUCAAAAUAUGUACACACAAAUUUAAGGAUGUGUAGCACUAGGUAUACGUGGCAUUAGGUAUAUUUUUUAUUUUCAUAUUAAUAAAUUUCCUUCAUACCUCGAAAUUUUCUAUAAAAAAAAAAACAAAAAGAAAAAAAACGGCAGAAGGCCACUUGUGAUGAGUACUUUAGUCAUGGAAUGCUGAUCGAAGUGCUAUUAAAUUGUCACUUAGAAUCAUAACUCUUGGCUUAUAGUAUGAAAAAAAAAAUACAGAACAUUUGUAUAUUGCUUGCAAGCAAUUAGGUUCUGUUAGUCAACUCCAGCAACUUGAUUAGAAAGCAUGUAUAUAAAGCUGCGCAAUUACCAUGUCCACAUAUCCUGAUCAGGAAAUUUCCCCUGCUUGGCUUAGUUGAAAAUAGCAGAUAAGUCAAGAGCGUAUUUUAAAUUACUGUUGGUUAAUUAUUUUAAAUUUCACUAGCAUAUGGGUAUACACAAAGUGUGUGAGAAAAUUUUUUAUUUUUGUUUUUGAAAUAGAAGAGGGAGUGAUAGAGAACGUGGGAGUGAGAAUUUUUUUUAUUAUUUUUUUAUUUUUUAUAAUUAGAUAUAUGUUAGGAUUACAUGUAGGUGAGACUUUGAAAAAAAAAACAGCAAAAUUUGGUUGUAUGAAAUUACAUUUCUGCCCCAUAUUUCUUAUUCAUGUUCUAUUUUAAUUAGAGGGUUAAACUGGUAAUUUUAUAGGAUUUUGAUUGAAAAUGAAUGUUUUAUUAAUUAAUAGAGAUAAUCAAUAUUAAUUACCAGUGGGUGUACUUUAAAUUAUGCUUGAUUAAUUAUUGUAAAUUUCAUAAUCAUAGAAAACUAAUAGCUUAUUAUAUAUUGUUGUCAAAAUCGUGAGUUCGGCUGUUGGAAAGGAUUUUUAAUGGGUAAAUUACAUUUUACCUCCUCAGAUUUGGAUGCAAUUGCAACCUCAUACAACAUUUUAAAAACAUUUUAAUUUCAUACAUUUAGUUAUCAUUUCAUUUCAAUGUCAUACAACCGUUAAAAAUUCUGUUAAGUUAGCUGUUAAGUGAUGAUGUGGUAACAGUGGGUCUCCCAUGUUUGCUUAUGUGGUUAACAACUUCUGCCACAUGGACAAACAAUUAAUAUUUUAUUUAAAAAAUUACAAAAAAAACCCUUAAAAAAUGGCUAAAAAAAAGGGAUAACUUGAUAUAGAUCCAAUUUUGUGAGCCAUUAGUAGGAUUAGUCCACUUCAUUGAAAUAGGUUCAAUAAUUGAGAUUCUACGUAUGCUUAUUUGUGGUUUGUACCAUAUUUACCCCUUAGGCUUACAAAUUGUAGUAAAUACACAAAAUUUCUUAAUUAUGGGAUUAUUUGUGGUUUAACUAAUCCCUUAAUUGUAGGAUUAGUUAUAGCCAUGUAAUCACCUCAACCCCCAGUCCGUUUCAUCCCUCCUUUUUUACUUCUUCCAAACAAUUCCCUCUAUCAAUCUUCCUCUUUGUUGUCUCUUCUUUUCAUGGGUGAUAUUUUUGUGUUCUUCCCUCCAAAUUCGUUCCUUUAAUGGAGGUAUAUUACAUCAUAUUUAUAUUUCUAUGUUCCUCCAUGUAGGUUCCCAACAUUUUUCUUCCAAUACAAUAGGUAGUUUAUUUUUGUUUUGCAGGUAGAUUAUAUCUGCUUUAUAGGUAUAAAGCAUUUUUCUUCCUAUACAAUAGGUAGGUAGUUACUAGAUUAUAUCGGUUUUGUUUUCUUCAUAAAUAGUAGGUAGUUACUAUAUAAUAUUUUAGUUUGAGUAUUUAAAUAUUCAAAAUUUAAAAACUGAAUAAAUGAUAUAAAAAAAAUUAAAGAAUUUAAAUAUUUUUAUCUGAAGGGGCAAAAUAUAUAUCAAAAUAUGUAAUUGGAUAACUAGACUCAGUCCCAAAAACUACCUAUGUUUUUGGACCUAGAUCCAAAAGCCCAAAAAAAAAAAAAAACAACCUUCCACAGCCCCUCUCCACCCCACGCUGAAAAUGCAAAGCCCCAACCCUAGAUCUUCCAUCCCCUCCAAUACGUCGUCAACAUCUUCGUCCACCACUGCAAGCCCGCCGGCAACACCAACAUUGCCUCCAACCCCACCCACGUCGACUGACGCUGCAAAUCGGACGACAACAUCAUAUUCUUCCUCGCGCGACAAUAUGUUGGGGGUCGCGGUGGUUGAGGCAGAGAGCACAAAGUGGUGAACUCCCAAACUCCGGCUGACGAAUUUGGUGGCGGUAGUUCAGGCAGAGAGCGCAAGUGGACUGACAAUUUGAGACAUGGAUCAAAUUUAGGGGUUGGGUUGGAUUCGACAAAAUUUGGGGGUUGGAUUUGUCCAAAUCCUAAAUUUUCCCAAACCCAGGUCCAAGUUGCAGGGGUCGAAGCCGACGUCAAUGGCAACGACGGAUGAGGAAAUGGGGUUUGCAGGGGGAGAGGGAGAAUGUGAUUGGGGAUGGGGAUGGGGAUGGGGAAGGGGAAGACAUGGGUUUUAGGGUUUUUUUUUUAUUAAAUAAUUAUUUUAGUAUUUAAUAUUCUGAUUAAAUUAUUAUUUUUUAAAUGCAUAGAAAUUUUUUUGCCACGUGGCAUAAAUUUGGUAACCACGUCAGCACAAAUAUAGAUCCUAUAUUUGCCAUGUUAUCACUUAACAUAUUUUCUAACGAAUGUAUGAAAUUGAAAAAAAAUGAUAAGUAAAUGUAUGAAAUUGAAAUGUUUUAAAGAUGUUGUAUGAGGUUGCAAUCGACCCCAAACCUGACGAGGUAAAAUGUAAUUACCCUUUUUUUAAUUAAGUUGACAUGAGCUGCAAAUAAUAUGCGUUGACACUAUUUUGCCAAAAAUCGGUGUAUUGAGAAAAUAAUACCAAUUACUUCAAAAAAAUAAAAAAACAGUUACGACUAAUUAUUUUUUAUCGUCAGUUGCUAGUUACAAAUAUAACUAGAUCUUGUGCCCUUGUAAUAUUUUUAAGAAAAUUUUCAUUUAUUAUUUGACAAAAAAAAAUAAUUGUGAUAAUUAUAAUCCAUCCAUCUCAACUAUUUGCGGUUUUACUUUAAAAAUAUUAUUUCACAUACGUCUCGGUCAUCCAUUUAUGAUUACAUGACUAAAAUUUCACAUAUGUCUCAAUCAACUAUUUAUGUCACAGCCCGUCCCAGAAGAUUAUUCUCGAUGACUUGAAAUGACAAUUUUACCCUUGGACGUUAAAGUAUGUUGUGUGGUUUAAGUUGGAUUUUGGACCCAUUCAUUAAUUUCCUAAGUCUUUGGACCUAAUUGGAAGUAAGGAAAUUGUUUGUUUUGAUGGGUGACCCAAAAAUCUGGACCACACAUCCUUUCUCUCUCUCACUCUCCCGUGCUCUCUUCUCUCUCUCGGACUCACUCUCUCUUCCCUUUCCUCCGUACGGACAACCUUGAACCAAGCCAAAUCUUCAUAGAUCAAGGAAGAAAAUGGUACCAUUGUGUUCGUGAGGACCAUACGAGUUCAAAGGUACCCAUUUCAGGUAAGAACUCGUUCGAUAUCACGUUAAAAACUCAAACUCCGAGUUGAUCACUAUUCAUGAACUUUUGCAUGGUUAUGUUUUAGGACAAUCCAAGCUCAUAGCGAGCUCUAGGAGGUUCUCACGAAGCUCGGAGUGCUUCGUUGGCUCGGUUUUGACGUCGGGAUCACAAGGUUCGAAGGUGGCCGGUUUUGGUAGAAUUUUCCCGACGAGUUUUCGAGGGAUUUGAAGCUCCCAAGAGGUAUAACCUUCUUCCUUUCGUGAUUUAUGGCAUUCUGGUGAAAAUUGUGUGAAAAAUGGUGCAAAAAUGAGCGAGAAAAAGGCAGUUGCAGGUCUGCCCAGAAUCCGGCGCCGGUGACACUGUUCCAGCGUCUGGAAGUUGAAGAUGAUGCGCGUGGGGCCGUGCCCUCCCCGGCGCGUGAGGGCUCAUGAGCCACAGAAAAUUUAUUUUAAAAAUAUCACGAUGUUCGUGAGGUUGUGUAGGUCGCGUUGGUAUAUUCAAAUACCAAAAUUGAGCUUUGUAUGAGAAAUUAUUAGCUAGUUUUGUGUAUGUGCUUUAAAAUAACGUUUUUAUAGUUAAUUCGCAUAUAGGUGAGACUUAUCCCGAGGACGAGCGUAUCCACGGGCGACUCGAGGGUUACGACCCGUUGACAUACCAGUGAGUGGGCUUUUGGUUUUCAGUAUAUAUUUAUAUACUUGAUAUUUUCCCAGAAAAAUAUGUUUAAAUGAUAAUAUGCCAUAAAUGCCAUGCAUAUACAAUUAUGUUUCGUGUAUGAAUUGGUGUGUGAUACCUUAUAUAUAUAAAUGUGGUGCUAUGGAGGCACAGGUAAGUUCAGGUAAGUUAUGUUUGGUUAUGUGAAUCAUCGAUGAUGUGAUAUGUGAUUGAAUAAUGUUGAGCUCAUUAAACUACACCUAGGGUGAUUGUGAUUUAGCCAGUGAUAUGAAGUACAUGCCUGUUUAUUUACGUCACCUCCCGCAUUAUAUGCUCAUAUUGGAUCCAACUUAAGUGCAUAGUCUUGUCGUACAGACCUUAUUUAUGGUUCCGACUGUAGGUGACUAGCGAAUUAUUGCCCGGCUAUUAUAAGAGAGUAAAAUUGAGCAUAAUCAUAUUACACCCAAUCUUGUUGUACAGACCCCUUUUUAGUGGUUCCGACUUAUGUGCAGUAUAUUGCCGUAUAGGUCAUUGUAGUGACUCCGGCUAGAUUGACUUUUGAGUUAUGAAUUCAGCCGUACAGACUACCACAGGGGUUCCGACUAACAUAUCAUAUUUCUAUGAAAUCAUUCUUACCUGGAUUGUUUACUUUGUUAUAUUUUGGAAUGGCAUACAUAUGCUUAUGAUUAUGUGAAGUAUGAUUUGAAUUGAUAUAUUUUUCAUAUUCAUUUAUGUAUAUGCUUAUAUUCUGAUUCUGGGAAAAAUUAUACAUGUUUUACAGCGAGGGGUUAGACAUGUUGAUAAAUGAAAUGGUUUUGUAAAACAUUUGUUUUUGCCCACUCAUGUUUUCUGUUUUGCGCCCCUCCAGGUUUUAAGUAAGCUUGCUGUUGGUGGCUUGAGGACGUCGGCAGUUCUGACCUAUCUAAAUAAUAGUAGGACAUUCCUGGUACUGUAUAACUAGUACUUGUCCUACUGGACUGCACCUAGACUUUAUGCUCUGAUUAGGAGUGUUUACUUCUGUAACUAACUCCUAUCACUCCCUGUUUAGUAGUGCAUUCUAGUAAUGUGAUUCUUAAUUAUUAGUAUAUUUUCUUAUCAUUAUUGCUUCCGCACUGUGCACAUGGCUACGUCACUCUCACGUAAUGGCCAGCAUGCCUUGAUCUCGGUCGGGGUGUGUCAGUUUGGUAUCAGAGCAUAGGUUUAGCAGUCAUGUAUAAUUCUUGAAUGUUCUAAUCCUUGUGAUGUCUUAUGUCAGAAUUAUGUCGCCUCGUAGAGAGCCCCGUCAAUCAGCUGAACCUAGUUUCCCCAAUAUUGCUCAAUUAGGGGAAGCUAUAGUUUCUGCCAUUCAGACUGCAUUCCGUACUCCCAGAGGAUACCUCUCAAGACAGUUUAUAAUCUGAAGUUGACUCACUUCAUUGGAAAUGAAGGACAUGAGGGGGCGGAAAAAUGGUUGAAUCAUAUGGAGAAUACCUUUCAGGUGAUGCAGAGUCAAGGGAAUCUUCCUCCUGAUAGGUGGGUCGAGACGACUACCUGGUUUUUGGGGGAACAACCUGCAACCUAGUGGAGACAGGAGUCUUACCAGUUGACCCCAGCAGAGAUUGUGGACUAGGGAGUGUUUAAGGAGCUGUUUCGGAAAAGGUUCAUUCCUUAUGCGUAUAUCGAUCGUAAGAAACAUGAGUUUACUCAUCAGAAGCAAGGAAAGACGUCCGCUGAUGAGUAUUAUAGGAUGUUUGCUGAUCUGUCGAGAUAUGAUCCGGAGGUUGCUGCUAAUUCGGUAGAGAUGCUUCGCCGUUUCAGUUUGGGUACUAAGAAGAAAUGGCAUUCCAUAGCGACAUCGACUCACUGUGCUACAUACCAGGAGUUUUAUGAGAUUUUACUGAGAAUUGAGGACUCGGAAAGCAUGCCUAGUGAAAGUGAGGAUGAGGAAGGAAAGAAUGGGGGCCAGAAACGAGAUGAUAAGGGGAAAAGGCAAGCAUUUCAGGGACCCCGCAAGACCCAGAACUUUAAGAGGAGUGGUGGCAGUUCCAGCUCUUCUAGCGGAGGAUUGCGUACUAAUAUGCAAAGAAUAGAUGGUAGAUUUACUGGAGGCCCUAGGUUCUAGAGACAGAGAGAUUUUGGUGGUUCAGGUGGAUCUGGUGCUCUUUUAUGCCGCAAGUGUAAUAGUCAACGUUUUGGGGAGUGUAGGAGAGGCAGCAGUGGAUGUUUUACUUGUGGAUAGAUGGGUCAUAGGGCUGCCCAAUGCCCUCAGAGUCAGCAGAGACCCUAGUAGCCUUCUUUCCCACCACCUGCACCGUCCCAGCAAGCUUCAAGAUCUGGUGGUUAUGCUCAAACUAGACGAGGAGGUGCCUACCACUAUUAAGGUGACGCCGCUCCUUACACCUCAGGACAACAUCAGUAUUCUCAGGACCCUCAGUAUCAGAGUGGGUACCCUCAGUAUCAGGGAGGAUUUAUGUCUUAUUAGCCUCAUUCAAUCGGAGGAUAUCAGUGGUAGCAAGGGGGACAGCCCCAGCAGGGAGAGAUUGCUGCUAGUAGUGCAGGAUCUUCGAGGCAGUCGGGUCAGCAGAGGCAAUGAUGUGGUAUUCAUGCCAACAGAGGUAGUGGUGGACGACAGCAGAAUCAGGGGCGUAUCCACAACAUGUCACUGCAAGAUGCCCAGAAUAAUCUAGAUUUAAUCAUGGGUACGUUAAAUAUUCUUGGUCAUUUUGCUAGAGUAUUGAUUGAUUGUGGUGCUACACAUUCUGUUAUUUCUCAUACAUUUGCUCAAGUGACGCAACCUCAUCCUACACCUUUAGGAUAUAAUUUAGAAUUUUCUAUGCCUAGAGGGGAUAGAUGUUUUGUGGAUUGGGUAUAUCCGGGAUGUCCAGUGAUAGUAGAGGAUGUUGUUAUGCCGGCUAAUCUUAUGUCGUUGGAUAUUAUGGAUUUUGAUGUGAUUUUGGGCAUUGAUUGGUUGCACUAUAAUCGUGCCAAGAUAGAUUGUUAUGGGAAGACAGUCACAUUUCAUCGUAUCGGAUUACCUGAAGUUACAUUUGUAAGAGAGCCUAGUAGGGUGAGACAUGGUAUUAUUUCAACUAUGAAAGCAAAGAGAAUGUUGUCGAAAGGUUGUCAGGGAUAUUUGGCUCAUGUGGUGUUGAAUGAUGAUGCUCCUAGUAGUGUGGAAGAUGUUCGUGUGGUCAGAUAUUUUUCGUAUGUAUUCCCUAAGGAUUUGCCUGGAUUGCCGCCAGAUAGAGAGGUGGAGUUUGUUAUUGAUCUACUUCCAGGUACGAAUCCUAUAUCCUUAACUCUUUAUAAAAUGGCUCAUGCUGAAUUGAGGGAAUUGAAAGUACAGUUGCAAGAGUUAGUGGAUAAAGUUUUUAUUCACCCGAGUACUUCACAUUGGGGAGCUCCAGUUUUAUUCGUGAGGAAGAAAGAUGGAACUUUGAGGCUGUGCAUUGAUUACAGGCAAUUGAAUCGGGUAACCAUUAAAAACCGUUAUCCAUUGCCUCGUAUAGAUGAUUUAUUUGAUCAACUCAGAGGUGCCUGUGUAUUUUCUAAGAUUGACUUGAGGUCGGGAUACUAUCAGUUGAAGAUUAAAAAUGAAGAUGUCCCUAAAACCGCAUUCAGGACUCGAUAUGGUCAUUAUGAGUUUCUUGUGAUGUCAUUCGGGUUAACUAAUGCACCAGCAGCUUUUAUGGAUUUGAUGAAUCGAGUAUUCCAGCCAUAUUUGAACAGGUUUAUUAUUGUCUUCAUUGACGAUAUUCUGGUAUAUUCUAAGUCUAAGGCUGAGCAUGCUAGACAUCUAAAGUUGGUGUUGAGCAGUUUGAGGGAACACCAACUAUAUGCUAAGUUUAGCAAAUGUGAAUUUUGGUUGAAUCAAGUAUCAUUUUUGGGACAUGUCGUUUCUUCUCAAGACAUUCAAGUGGAUUCUCAGAAAGUGGCAGCUGUGGAGAAUUGGGAACAACCUCGAACCGUCACCGAGAUACGGAGUAUUCUUGGCCUAGCAGGCUAUUAUAAACGGUUCGUUAAGGAUUUUUCAGUGAUUGCUUUGCCAUUGACGGGGUUAACUCGAAAGGAUGUUAAGUUUGAGUGGGAUAAUAAGUGUGAGCAAAGUUUUCAGCAGUUGAAAUAUUAUCUCACUCAUGCACCUGUUCUAACACUUCCAGAUGAUAACGGUAAUUAUGAGGUCUAUAGUUAUGCUUCUCUUAAUGGUUUGGGUUGUGUAUUGAUGCAACAUGAUAGGGUAAUUGCUUAUGUUUCGAGACAGUUGAAACCUCAUGAGAAGAAUUACCCUACACAUGAUUUGGAGUUAGCAGCUAUCAUCUUUGCCUUGAAGAUUUGGAGACAUUAUCUUUAUGGUGAGAAAUGCAAGAUCUUCACAAAUCAUAAGAGUCUUCAGUAUUUGUUUACUCAGAGAGAUCUUAAUCUUCGACAGCGGAGGUGGAUUGAGUUACUUAGUGACUAUGAUUGCACGAUUGAGUAUCAUCCUGGUCAUGUAAAUGCUGUGGUGAAUGCACUUAGUUGGAAAACUCCAGUCAGACUUAAUGCCAUUUAUGAUUGCCACGUUCCUCUUCUAGCAGAUUUGAGAUCCACUGGAGUGGAGUUAGGAGUGGAAGAUCGAGAAGAAGCCUUGCUUACUAAUUUUCAGGUUAGGCCAAUUUUAAUUGACCGUGUGCUUGAAGCUCAGAUGUAUGAUGAGGAGACCCAGGAAAUAAUUCAAGCAAGAAAUCAAAGAAAAAAUAAAGAUUUCGGGAUUCGAGAAUAUGAUGGUAUGCUUAUGCAGGAAAGCAGAAUGUAUGUGCCAAAUAAUGCAGAGUUAAAGAAAGAAAUUUUGGAUGAAGCACACAUUUCAGCAUAUGCGAUGCAUCCAGAAGGCACUAAGAUGUAUCAUGCCAUUAGACCAUUUUAUUAUUGGCCAGGUAUGAAAAGAGAAAUUGCCGAAUAUGUGAGUAGGUAUGCCAUUUGCCAAUAGGUUAAAGUUGAAAGGAAGAAGCCGUUUAGGUUGAUGCAACCACUUCCCGUUCCACAGUGGAAAUGAGAAAAUAUUACUAUGAAUUUUGUGUACAAGCUUCCUCGUACACAGAAUGGAUAUGACGGCAUUUGGGUGGUAGUUGAUCGGCUUACGAAGUCAGCACAUUUUAUUCCAGUGAGGGAGAAGUAUUCGUUAAGCCGAUUAGCUAAGUUAUUUACAUCGCAGAUUGUGAAGUAUCAUGGUGUGCCAGUUAAUAUUAUCUCAAAUCGGGAUCUCAGAUUUACUUCCAAGUUCUGGAUAGCAUUCCAGGAAGCUCUUGGUACGAGAUUGCUUUAUAGUACAGCAUAUCACUUUUAGACAGAUGGACAAUCUGAUAGAACUAUUCAGACAUUAGAGGAUAUGUUGAGAUCUUCAAUGCUGCAGUUUUGAGAUAGUUGGCAUGAUUGUUUGGAUUUGAUGGAGUUCGCCUACAACAACAGUUAUCAUUCGAGUAUUAGUAUGGCACCAUUUGAGGCACUUUAUGGGAAAUCUUGUCGUACGCCUCUAUGUUGGUCAGAGGUUGGCGAAAUAGUUUUAGUGGGCCAGAGAUUGUGGAUGUGACUACUCAAAAUGUUCAGGUAAUUAAGUCUAACCUGAAAGCGGCCCAAGAUCGACAAAAGAGAGUAGCAGACAAGCACGCCACUGAUCGGAAGUAUAAUGAAGGUCAUUGGGUACUUCUAAAGCUAUCAUCUUGGAAGGGUGUUGUACGAUUUGGAAAGAAAGGAAACUUGAGUCCUAGGUACAUUGGACCAUAUAUGAUCACCGAACGAGUUGGUGAGGUUGCUUACAGGCUUGAGUUGCCUCCAGAGUUAUCCAAAGUGCACGAUGUGUUUCAUGUUUCGAUGCUCCGACAUUAUGUUUCAGAUCCUUCACAUGUGAUUCCUCCUCAACCUUUGGAAAUUAAUCCGGAUUUGACUUAUGAUAAGGAACCAAUGACUCUAUUGGAUUGGAAGGAUAAGGAACUAAGGAAUAAGACUGUGCGCUUGGUGAAAGUAUUAUGGAGAAAUCAUUCAGUGGAAGAAGCUACUUGGGAGACCGAGGAUCAAAUGAGAGAGAUGUAUCCAUGCUUGUUCUAUGAUUAUUAGUGGAUGUAUUGGUUGUAUGUAAUUUCGAGGACGAAAUUUUAUAAGGUGGGGAGAUUGUCACAGCCUGUCCCGGAAGAUUAUUCUCGAUGACGUGAAGUGACAAUUUUACCCUUGGACGUUAAAGUAUGUUGUGUGAUUUAAAUUGGAUUUUGGACCCAUUCAUUAAUUUCCUAAGUCUUUGGACCCAAUUGGAAGUAAGGAAAUUGUUUGUUUUGAUUGGUGACCCAAAAAUCUGGACCACACAUCUUUUCUCUCUCUCACUCUCCCGUACUUUCUCUUUUCUCUCUCGGACUCACACUCUUUUCCCUCUCCUCCGUACAGACAACCUUGAACCAAGCCAAAUCUUCACAGAUCGAGGAAGAAAAUGGUACCAUUGUGUUCGUGAGGACCAUACGAGUUCAAAGGUACCCAUUUCAGGUAAGUACUCGUUCGAUAUCACGUUAAAAACUCAAGCUUCGAGUUGAGCACUAUUCAUGAACUUUUGAAUGGUUAUGUUUUAGGACAAUCCAAGCUCACAGCGAGCUCUAGGAGGUUCUCACGAAGCUCAGAGUGCUUCGUUGGCUCGGUUUUGACGUCGGGAUCACGAGGUUCGAAGGUGGCCAGUUUUGGUAGAAUUUUCCCGACUAGUUUUCGAGGGAUUUGAAGCUCCCAAGAGGUAUAACCUUCUUCCUCUCGUGAUUUAUGGCAUUCUGGUGAAAAUUGUGUGAAAAAUGGUGCAAAAACGAGCGAGAAAAAGGCAGUUGCAGGGUAUGCCCAAAAUCCGGCGUCGGCGACACUGUUCUGGCGUUUGGAGGUUGAAGAUGAUGCGCGUGGGGCCGUGCCCUCCCCGGCGCGUGAGGGCUCGUGAGCCACAGAAAAUUUAUUUUAAAAAUAUCACGAUGUUCGUGAGGUUGUGUAGGUCGCGUUGGUAUAUUCAAAUACCAAAAUUGAGCUUUGUAUGAGAAGUUAUUAGCUAGUUUUGUGUAUGUGCUUUAAAAUAACGUUUUUAUCGUUAAUUCACAUAUAGGUGAGACUUAUCCUGAGGACGAGCGUAUCCACGGUCGACUCAGGGGUUACGACCCGUCGACAUACCAGUGAGUGGGCUUUUAGUUUUCAGUAUAUAAUUAUAUACUUGAUAUUUUCCCAGAAAAAUAUGUUUAAAUGAUAAUAUGCCAUAAAUGCCAUGCAUAUACAAUUAUGUUUCGUGUAUGAAUUGGUGUGUGAUACCUUAUAUAUAUAAAUGUGGUGUUGUGGAGGCACAGGUAAGUUCAGAUAAGUUAUGUUUGGUUAUGUGAAUCAUCGAUGAUGUGAUAUGUGAUUGAAUAAUGUUGAGCUCAUUAAACUGCACCUAGGGUGAUUGUGAUUUAGCCAGUGAUAUGAAGUACUUACCUAUUUAUUUACGUCACCUCCCGCACUAUAUGCUCAUAUUGGAUCCAACUUAAGUGCACAGUCUUGUCGUACAAACCUUAUUUAUGGUUCCGACUCGUAGGUGACUAGCGAUUUAUCUCCCGGCUAUUAUGAGAGUAAAAUUGAGCAUAAUUAUAUUACAUCCAAUCUUGUCGUACAAACCCCUUUUUAGUGGUUCCGACUUAUGUGCAAUAUAUUGUCGUAUAGGUCAUUGUACUGACUCUGACUAGAUUGACUUUUGAGCUAUGAAGUCAGCCGUACAGACUACCACAUGGGUUCCGGCUAACAUAUCAUAUUUCUAUGAAAUCAUUCUUACCUGGAUUGUUUACUUUGUUAUAUUUUGGAAUGGCAUACAUAUGCUUAUGAUUAUGUGAAGUAUGAUUUGAAUUGAUAUAUUUUCAUAUUCAUUUAUGUAUAUGCUUAUAUUCUGAUUCUGGAAAAAAUUAUACAUGUUUUACAACGAGGGGUUAUAUAUGUUAAUAAAUGAAAUGGUUUUGUAAAACAUUUGUUUUUGCCCACUCACGUUUUCUGUUUUGCGCCCCUCCAGGUUUUAAGUAAGCUUGAUGUUGGUGGCUUGAUGACGUCGGCAAUUCUGACCUAUCUAAAUAAUAGUAGGACAUUCCUGGUACUGUAUAACUAGUAUUUGUCCUACUGGACUACACCUAAACUUUAUGCUCUGAUUAGGAGUGUUUACUGUUGUAACUAACUCCUAUCACUCCCUGUUUAAUAGUGCACUCUAGUAAUGUGAUUCUUAAUUAUUCGUAUAUUUUCUUAUCAUUAUUGUUUCCGCACUGUGCACAUGGCUACGUCACUCUCACGUGACGGCCAGCAUGCUUUUAUCUCGGUCGGGGUGUGUCAAUUUAUUUUUAAAUUGACUAAAAUGCAAAAUUCUCAUAUAUUAAAAAAAAUUGCGGUAAUUAUAAAGGAAUUUUAAUGAAAAACCCGCAGUACUAUUUAUUUUAACGAAAAAUUACAUUUUUACAUUAAAAAGUCAAUCCUUAUACUAUUCACUUUACUUUUUAUUUUGUCCUUAUCGUUAAAACUCAAAAAUUUUAAACUAUUUUUAUUAGUUUUCCUUAAUUAUAAAGGAUCCAUCCAUCUGAACUAUUUGCAGUUUUACUUAAAAAAAUUUAGUUCACAUACGUCUCCGUCAUCCAUUUAUGAUUACAUGACUAAAAUUUCACAUUCGUCUCAAUCAACCAUGUAUGUUAAAAUUGACUAAAUGCAAAAUUCUCAUAUAUUAAAAAAAAUUAAUUGCAAUAAUUAUAAAAAAGUUUUAAUGAAAAGUUUGCGGUACUGUUUACUUUAAAGAAAAAUCACAUUUUUACACUAAAAAAUCAAUAUUGAUUCUAUUCGUUUUAACCUUUAUUUUGUCUUUAUGAUUAAAACUCAAAGUUUUCAAACCAUUAUCAUUAGUUUUCUUUAAUUACAAGGUAUCUAUCCAUCUAAACUAUUUGCAGUUUUACUUAAAAAAAAUAUUUCACAUACGUCUUAGUCAUCCAUUUAUGAUUACAUGACUAAAAUUCACAUACGUCUCAUCAACCAUUUAGGUUAAAAUUGACUAAAAUGCAAAAUUCUCAUAUAUUAAAGUCUUUAAAUUGGAUCCUUAUGAAAGAAUUUCACUUGGGUGUGUAUGCAUAUCUUUAGCUGAAUCUGACCGGCCUUCGGUAUCGGUAAAAAAAAAGGUUUUCAAAAUCAUUUUUAUGAUAUUUUUCUACUAGAAUUUGUCUUUGAUUAGUAUUUUGCAUGGACUAUGUUCGAGAGAGAGCGACCAAACUUGAUAUCGGCAGGCGUUCACUGUUUAGUAAUACAUAGUCCAUACAAAUUUUGGUGCUGAUUAUCUAAAUUACAUAUUAAUAAAAUUUUCAUUGUCAACCAAAAGUUUAUGAAAUUACCAUUCUAACCCUUUAAUUAAAACUAAACAUAUAUAAGGAAUGUAGGCAGUAAUAUAAUUUUACACAACCAAAUUUUUUUUUUUUUCAAAGCCGCACUUAUAUGUGAUUCUAAUAUAUCUCUAAUUUAAAAAUUAAAAAGUAAAGCUCUCUCCUCUCUCUCCCUAUCCCACGCUCUCUCUCCCUCUUUUCCUCUCUCCUUCCAUUUUAAAUACAAAAAAUACAAAAUUUUCACACACAUUUUGUAUGUGGUCAUAUGCUAGUAUUCCACAUUAUGAUCCAAUACUUUUUGGUAAUUUAGGUCAACUACAUAUUAAUAAAAUCCUCAUUGUCAACCAAAAGUUUAUGAAAUUACUAUUCUAACCCUUUAAUUAAAACUGAACAUAUAUAAGAACUGUGGGCAGUAAUAUAAUUUCACACAAUCAAAAUUUUGUUUUUUUUUUCAUAGCCUCACCUAUAUGUGAUUCUAACAUAACUCUAAUUAAAAAAUAUAAAAAGUAAAGCUCUCUCCUCUCUCUCCCCAUCCCACGCUUUCUCUCUCUUUUCCUCUCUCCUUCCAUUUUAAAUACAAAAAAUACAAAAUUUUCACACACAUUUUGUGUGUGGGCAUAUACUAGUAUUCCGCAGUAUGAUCCAAUACUUUUUGGUAAUUUAGGUUAUGAUAAUCAAUUCAAUAACUCCCAACUUAUACCUAUAUAGCCAAAAGUAAUAUAAGGGGCAGAUUUAUGUCACCAUAUUUUUACACAACUUUUGAUACUUGUUUUUGUGAGGCUCAUUCCGUAAUGUAUUUCAAGGAUCCAAACGUCUAUAUUUUAGGUUUCCCUCAAAUAUUAUGUUUACCAAAAAUCACUUAAAUAUGAAAUCAUAUGACCGUUGAAUGUCUUAACGGUUUUAUAUUUGGUUCAUUUUUUGCAAGAAUGAUAUAUGAAAAAAUUUCUCAAAAAUAGAUGGUUCAUUUUUUGGUUUUAAGGGCAAGUAAGGUAACACAAGUCAUUGACUUCCGUUCGUGUCCUUCGAGGUCCACUCAUUCCCUCCCCUCAAGCGAAUAAAAAGCUGUAUUUCAGACUCAUUCUCCUUACAAGUCUGUCGUCUUUCUUCGCCACUCUCACAAAUUUUCAUACAUACAAUCCAACAAAUUCCAAAACCUCUCAACAUAUUCCAUCCAGCUAGCUGCACAAACUGAUUCUUUUGUCUCUGGUUUUCUCUUCAAAUGUGAAAGACUUUGCCUAGAAAAAUGAUGAUUAUGUUCUUCCCUCGACUUCUUCCUCAUUCUCUUUUCUUUGUAGCUUGCUUUGUAACUUUUGCCUUUGGAGCUACUCGAUUGCCAAAUGAUGAAGGUACGAGUAUAAAUCUUUCUUAGUUUCCUUUUCUUCAUUCUUUAAAUGAUAGUUUUAAGUUCGUUUGAUAAUUUUUUUUGAGUUUUCAAAUUUGGUUUGGGUUGAUUUUGGUUUUCAGUUUACAUUUUUCCGAGAAGUGAAAACGGUUACCAUAAAUUAAAAAAUCAAAAUAAAAAUGUUUAUCAAAUGGACCUUAGGCAAAGAGAUAUUUGUGUGAACUUAGUAGAAAUUUUCAAUCAUAUGAUGCUGAGGUGCACUCUGUAGUUCUUGUCUAUGCGUCAAUUUUAUUUUAUUUUUACUAUUUUGUUCAGCACGAUGUUAAUUUGUUGCAUUUUAUUUUGGCGUAUAUGCAGUGCAAACUUUGAAAGGCAUAGCAAAGACACUGGGGAAGACGGGCUGGGAUUUCAGUGGAGACGCAGAUCCAUGCAGCGGCCAAUCUCCAUGGACUAAUACAAGCUCACCGAAAGAAAUUCAGAAUACCAUCAUCUGUCAUUGCUCCGAUGAAAACUCCACUGUCUGCCAUAUUACCAACAUGUAAAUCUCUCUCUCUCUCUCUCUCUCUCUCUCUCUCUCUCUCUCAAAAACAAACAUGCCCGACUCAGAACUCAGUGAGAUUUUUAAGUGUGCUUCCGGAACAUGAUAUAACACGUGUUAUUAUAUAAAUUGUGGGUUACUUGUGUGAAAAAGUAGCACAAUUUGAAAAAUAAAACCUCAUUCUACUUAUAUAACAACAUGUGAUGUACGUUCCGAACACAAUUAAAAAUUUCUGGAUAAACAGUUUACUCGUUGUGUGUUUGAACGAGUUCCAUCUCAUGCAAUAUAUAGAAAUAUUAAGAGCAAAAUAAAGAAAAAGUUGAGAAAAUAAUUAGCCAAUUAGGUGCUAAAUUAGUCGAAUAACUUGACUAAGCAAAAGCAACGUACAUAUUAGGCUCCUUUUGUUGUGAAAGGUUGAGAAGGAUAGGAUCAAAGUUGUUCAGUCUUUGUCAUACCAAUCACAUUAAAGAGAAAAAACAAGAAAGGUCUACGUCCACGUACCAUCCAGUCGAUGAGUGAAGAAAUAUUAAAAAAAAAAGUCAUUGUUUUUCACUUAUAUUAUGAUAUGUGAUGUACUGCUUGAAAAAAUCUCUACUUAAUGAGUGCUAGUAGCACAAUUUGAAAAAUAAAACCUCAUUCUACUUAUAUAACAACAUGUGAUGUACGUUCCGAACACAAUUAAAAAUUUCUGGAUAAACAGUUUACUCGGUGUGUGUUUGAACAAGUUCCAUCUCAUGCAAUAUAUAGAAAUAUUAAGAGAAAAAUAAAGAAAAAGUUGAGAAAAUAAUUAGCCAAUUAGGUGCUAAAUUAGUCGAAUAACUUGACUAAGCAAAAGCAACGUACAUAUUAGGCUCCUUUUGUUGUGAAAGGUUGAGAAGGAUAGGAUCAAAGUUGUUCAGUCUUUGUUAUACCAAUCACAUUAAAGAGAAAAAACAAGAAAGGUCUACGUCCACGUACCAUCCAGUCGAUGAGUGAAGAAAUAUUAAAAAAAAAAGUCAUUUUUUUCACUUAUAUUAUGAUAUGUGAUGUACUGCUUGAAAAAAUCUCUACUUAAUGAGCGCUAGUAGCACAAUUUGAAAAAUAAAACCUCAUUCUACUUAUAUAACAACAUAUGAUGUACGUUCCGAACACAAUUAAAAAUUUCUGGAUAAACAGUUUACUCGUGUGUUUGAACGAGUUCCAUCUCAUGCAAUAUAUAGAAAUAUUAAGAGAAAAAUAAAGAAAAAGUUGAGAAAAUAAUUAGCCAAUUAGGUGCUAAAUUAGUCGAAUAACUUGACUAAGCAAAAGCAACGUACAUAUUAGGCUCGUUUUGUUGUGAAAGGUUGAGAAGGAUAGGAUCAAAGUUUUUCAGUCUUUGUUAUACCAAUCACAUUAAAGAGAAAAAACAAGAAAGGUCUACGUCCACGUACCAUCCAGUCGAUGAGUGAAGAAAUAUUAAAAAAAAAGUCAUUUUUUUCACUUAUAUUAUGAUAUAUGAUGUACUGCUUGAAAAAAUCUCUACUUAAUGAGCGCUUUCUCCUACAUAGAAUUUUUUUUUGUCAAAAAAUAGAUUUUGUUAGGUUAAAUGUUAAAUUAGUCAGCAACGGGGUUUGAAUCCACGUCAUCAUGUAAGAGCUCAACACUUUUCUACCACUGUGGUAAAGGGUCACUUGCCUCCUAUAGAUAAAAUUAACUAUGCAUGUAGACUAAGCGAGACGAAUAACUUACAUUGAACAAGUUAAAUAUCAUAAAAUUAAUACGUGCAAAUUUUUCUUAGCAUGAUAUAUAAUAUUAUAUCAAAAAUAUUAAAAAUAAUAAAUUUGUUCGAUGUAAACUGAUCACAAUUGUGCGGGAGAGAUGUUUUUAUUUCAGAGAGGGGAUUAGCUGGUGAUUUCGUCACAACAGUUUACCCUUUCAAAAGUCGAGAAAAUUCAUAGAGACAACAAUAGAGAUGUUGAUUAGAUGGUUGGAAUUCGGUUUAGUGGACCCCAUGUCUAUUUGGUAUAAAGUAUCAAUCAAUUUUUCAUUACAUGUCCCCUAACCUAACCCCAAGCCCAUGAAACCUCCAAAAUGAUCACAAGUGUGCGAGGAGAGAUGUUUUUCUUUCAAAAUGGGAAUUAACUAGUGAUUUCGUCAGGAUAGUUCACCUUUUCGAAAGUGGGAAAAACUUAUAAAAACAACGAGAGAUGUUGAUUAGAUGGUUGGCAUUCGGGUUUGUGGACCCCACGUCUAUUUAGUAUAAAGUAACAAUCAAUUUUUCAUUACAUGUCUCCUAACCUAACCCCAAGCCCAUGAAACCUCCAAAAUAAAGUAGGAAUUAUAAGGUCUAGUGUGGGCCUCAUCGAGUUGCAUAUUGGCAACUUAGCACGUCGCAUUCACUCAUUCAACCUUAUGUCGGGCCAGGUAGCUAGACCGAUUGAUUUCAAUUAGAUUUGAAGGAUGUUAGUUUAAAGGGUGUGAUAUCCACACAUCACAUUUUAUUUCUCACACAUCUCUUUAAUUUUCGGCCGUCGGAUCGGAUGAAUUGAAGACUAUCAAUGGACAUAAAUUAUCAAAGAUGUGUGGGCCUCAUCAAGUUGCAUAUUGGCAACUUGGCACGUUGCAUUCACUCAUUCAACCUUAUGUCGGGCCAGGUAGCUAGACCGAUUGAUUUCAAUUAGAUUUGAAGGAUGUUAGUUUAAAGGGUGUGAUAUCCACACAUCACAUUUUAUUUCUCACACAUCUCUUUAAUUUUCGGCCGUCGGAUCGGAUGAAUUGAAGAAUAUCAAUGGACAUAAAUUAUCAAAGAUGUGUGAGAAGUAAAAUGGGGUGUGUGGAUAGCACACCCCUAGUUUAAUAGCACAAUCGAGCUCGUUUGUUUCUUUGUGAUUUUCUCACGCCCCGACCCUAGCUUCAGAGAGAUUUUUUAGUGUGCUAGGAGUACAGUCCGGUACAUCAAGUAUCAUAAUACAAGUGGUUAAAUACUUGAAAAAGAACUUCCAACCGUUUGUAUUAUGACACUUAAUGAACCAGAUUUGUUCCUUACACACAAAAUUUCUCUUAGCUUCGGGGGCGUAAAGAUUUUAAGGCUCUUAUUUUAUAUAUGUAAAGCAAGUAAAUGUUGCUACUGUUUAGAGCUAUGAAAAGUGAUCAUCACUCGUCAUUUUCUCUUCAUGCACAUUAUUGAUUUCUAGCCUUUCACGUUUCAAGGGACAUGAAUAAAACCAAGUUAUGCAAUAAUCAUUUUCUUAAAGCUAUAAGUUAUUUUUGACAUGUAAGUUGGAUUGAAAAUUUCGAUUUCAACCAAUUCUGUUUUUGUCGGUUUACGAACAAAAAUAUGAAGAAAAUUGGAACGCAUCUUAAAAUUAGGCUACUUUUGCCGUCGUUAUACAAUCACUAAUUUGUGAUCCAUCAGUGGGUAUAAAGCCAACGUUAUUAUGAUAUCUCUAGACCCUAGUGGGGUUUCCAUUUUCCCAAAUCCUUUACCCUCGGGAUUUUUAAUUUUUCUUCAACCGGCAACCAAUUGGAAGUUUUUCUUGGUCUAAUAAGACCUUGUUGCGCCUUCAAAUUCAAGAAAUGCAGAAGGACUGAUCCAUUUCUUUUAUUGAAUGACCAAUUAAACAUCAAUUACAACCUACCAUGGACCGCAAUUCAAGUUUAGUUUAUCUGCAAAAUCGAGUUCAUGGGAUGUGACCAAUUUGCUCAAUUACUAUAGCAAUGUGUUUUUGAGCUGGCCAUGAGCCAGCAUAGGCGUUCUGUGGUACGCUGAGUUGUUAGAACUUGGUAAUACUGCUGUGCUGUAUUUAGGCUUGAUUCUUACAUACUUGAUCAACGUACAAAAUUUCGCAGUCACGAAGAUUCUUGCAUACUUCUUAUACACGAACAACUCUGUAUCGGCCUAGUUAUUCGUUACAAAGUCAAUGAAAGAAUGAUUCAUAGUGUGCUUGUAACAAAUACACAUUUACCGUUUGUGUAAUUCCUCAAGUUUUAUUCUUUCUAAAGAACAUUGGACAUUUUCCUUCAGUUUUAAAGUAUGAAAACCAGUUCCUUCUUCCUAUUUAAUUCCCUGACCAAAAGUAAGUAUUUUCUGUGAUAAAUUAGUGUUUUACCUGUUUGGUCUCAUUUCUGUGGCAGCUUUUCCUUUUAGUCACAGUAUAGAUGCAUAAUGAAUAUCUGUUAAUUUGCAACUAAUCUUUGAAACAUUAUUUUCUGAAAACACAGAAUUCUAAAAGCCCAAGAUUUGAAAGGAACACUCCCACUAGAGCUGGUAGAUCUCACCUAUCUUCAAGAAAUGUAAGCACAUUUUUACCCCUCCAAGUUUACAUUAUUUAAAAGAAAAUAACUUUGUAUCGUGUAAAUCGUUUAUUCUAAUUUCAUAUAUAGCUUACCUUUAUGUCUGUUGCCAAUGAGACAAUAACUGGUUUCUUUCUUUCUCCUUCAGCGACCUGACCCGCAACUACCUGAGCGGUACCAUCCCUCCAGAAUGGAGCUCUCUUCCACUUUUGAACAUGUACUGUCUUCUCUCAAACUGCAUGCACUUCUGUGUUUGAUGUUCGUGUCAUGUUCUUAUUGCUUCAUUUGGUCACUCCAAUGUUCUUCAGCCAUUUCUUUCUUAAACUAUAAAUCUACUACAUUUGGUUUUGUUCAUGAUGAUGGGCUUCCGUGGUCAUGAGGCGUUUGAAUCAUAAAUAUUGAAUCGAACACAUGGGGUUCAUUGCCUUCGUAUUGACGAACAUGUUAAUGUUAUUGAGCCUCUUGCUUGAUAAAAGUGAUAUUAAGACUAGUUUUUGAUACAGAUCCCUUCUUGGAAAUCGUUUGACCGGUUCUAUCCCCAAAGAGCUCGGAAACAUCACCACCCUGAAGAGUUUGUGAGUGUUGAUUGCGCAUUUGUUUCUUGCUUACCCCAUUUGAUUCCAUGGAGAUCCUUAAUGAUGUUUUUUUAAUCAAUGGAAUUGAAUUUGUUUGUAUAGGGACAUCAGUUUCAAUAAUUUCUCUGGACCUCUCCCUCAGGAGCUUGGAUCUUGGGCCCACAUAGAAAGAUUGUAAGAGUCCUUUUCGAAUUUUACCGUGUUAAAAAGUAUUUGGUUUAUUUGGAGUUUUCUUUCUUGUAGACAAAUUCUGGAUGUUUUCACUAGUAAAUCAUCUACUUCUUUAUCAUUGAUAUAAUGGUUAUAUCUAUUUCGUACUUAGGCUGCUUUGCUCAAACAACUUUACUGGGGAGUUGCCAGAAACAUUUGCAAAGCUUACCAAAAUAAAGGACUUGUAAGUUUCUGUGGUUCUUUCUUCUUAAAGGUUUCCCGAGCACUUAUACAUUUUUUUUACUGCUUUCUGAUACUAAUUCGUAUUUUCCCUUUUCUCCAAUCAUUAUGCAGUCGGGUUAGUGACAGUCACUUUUUCGGGCAGAUACCUGAUUUUAUUAAGAACUGGGCAAAUCUUGAAAAACUGUGAGUGUUUUUCUUUUGUGUGUCAUCUUUCUGCUAUUUGAUUCUGAAUAUUAUCUCUAAUUCAUAUGUUAUGACUCGUUGAAACAGAGUGAUUCAGGCUAGCGGUUUGACAGGGCCAAUUCCUCCUGGCAUUUCUCGUUUGACAAACUUAACUGACUUGUUAGUAUAUCCCGUCUCUAUUUUUAAAUACAAAACGAUUAGCGAUAUGUGUAGUUUAUGUUCAUGGCUCAAUUUUAACAUGCAGGAGAAUCACUGACUUGAGUGGACCUGAAUCACCCAUUCCUUCGCUCGAGAAGAUGAAAAACAUGAAGACACUGUGAGUUAAUGGUUCCAUGACACACAAUUUCUGUCUGUACCAGAAGUCUUCUGUAAACUCAUAGCUUUGGAGUCUGUUGCAGGAUGUUGAGGAGUUGCAACCUUACUGGAAAGAUACCUCUAUAUCUUGCACAAAUGAAAAACUUGAAAACUUUGUAAGUACAAAUGUCUUGGUCCCUAUUUUUUCCGUCUUCAAAUAAAAAAUUUCUUCUAGAUGUGAUUCUACUAAUUCAAGAAUUAUUGAAGUGACUUAGACAAUGUUGGGCGGACUUUAUGUUUCUGUAUUUAUUAAGAGAACAUCUCUUUCAGAUGUCAUUUCCCUCUCUGUAGAGAGCACAACUAAACUGCGUUUGCUAUUUGUUUGUGCAGAGACCUCAGCUUUAACAAGCUGACCGGAGAAAUUCCAAGCAGCUUCGAUAGUCUACCAAAUGUGGCUUAUAUGUAAGCAAUUGGAAUGACCAAUCCAGUCUUUCUUACAUGAAAUUCAAGCAGACAUUCUUCAAUGGUUUUGUUACACCCCAGCCUGACAAGCUGGAAGUAUUUCAAAUCACGAUUACUAUAAUUAUGAGUCACGGAUUAUACUGCAAUGAAAAUGAAAACGGCUCCUCUGCUCAGAAAUGAAAUGUUUAGUUUAUUCAUUAGAGUCAUUACUGCUUAUGCAAUUAAUUAACAUAAGGUGAUCACCUUUAGAUGUGUCUUUCAGAUGGAAGUACCGAUCUAAUCCACUUAGAGUUGGCAAACUCAAGUUUUCAAACCUUUACAGAGAAAUUCCUAAGAACAAACACUAUAUUCUUUACUGAGUUUUUUUCUGUAUUCAUUAUUUUUAGAUUCUUAACUGGAAACUUGCUGACUGGACCUGUACCUGCUUGGCCAAGAGUCAACGUGUAAGCUUCUCUUCCAAAUGCUACUCUUUAGCUACUAAGGAAAUUUAUGCUGUUUUUUUUACUAAGAUAGAUAUAAAACUAUUAAGCUCAUAACUUAUUUCACUAAUUCUAAUCAGCUAGAGACCUACAAUUCAACAGAAUUUGCAUCAUAGCUCUUUUUGUGCAGUGAUCUUUCGUAUAACAACCUCGCCAUAGAGGAUGCAAGUUGUCAACCACGAGGUGGCACGUAAGAAUGUCUUCAUUAGCUUGAAGUUAAUCUGUUUGUGUUAUGUGGAGAUAAGCUUAACUUUUCAUUUGUGUUAAUUUCUGCAGUAACUUGUUUGCAAGCUCGUCAAAAGGAAAUAGUUCGUAAGUUCAAAUUAAUCAUCUCAAAGCAUGCACCUAUAAAUUUACUUCGGUAUCCAAUGGUGUAUUCUUUACUAUUUUUUUUUCCAAUUUCGUCUCAUUUAUGAUUGCUGACAUUUUUUGUACCCUGAAUUACUAUAUCCGGAGAAUUAUUUCAUGUUUCAAAACUUCAGAGUGUCCAAAAUGUAAGCCGAGUUUCUACACAAAUAAUUACCUUUAUUUUUUCGAUUCAUUCUUUUUUAGUUUUCCUCCUCAAUGCCUACUAAUCUCCAAUUUAUUUUUUCAUAGAUUUGUACUACUCUCUCCAUAUAAAUUGUGGUGGGAAACAAUUUACGGUCCCUGGAGGAAAAGAUACAGUAUAUGGUGAUGACACAUUUUCUGCUGGACCUUCAUCAUUUUACAAGAGCACAACAAAUUGGGCAUUAAGCAGCACCGGUUACUUCCCUGAUGAUGACCGCCCUUAUGACACCUUUACAUGGACUAAUGAAACUAGACUCUCUAUGGCCAAUCCUCAACUGUACAUGAACGCACGCCUUUCUCCCAUAUCUCUAACUUAUUUUGGGUUUUGUCUGGGAAAUGGAAACUACACCGUAAAC
This 32557-nucleotide long non-coding RNA is filed under the name Malus domestica (apple). RNAcentral describes it as "long non-coding RNA (MDOM_LNC010903)". The record is from RNAcentral. Lineage: Eukaryota; Viridiplantae; Streptophyta; Magnoliopsida; Rosales; Rosaceae.